UACGAGGGGUGCAAGCGUUAAUCGGAAUUACUGGGCGUAAAGCGUUCGUAGGCGGUUGACUAAGCAAGAUGUGAAAGCCCAGGGCUUAACCCUGGAACGGCAUUUUGAACUGUUCGACUAGAGUACUGUAGAGGGUGGUGGAAUUUCCAGUGUAGCGGUGAAAUGCGUAGAGAUUGGAAGGAACAUCAGUGGCGAAGGCGGCCACCUGGACAGAUACUGACGCUGAGGAACGAAAGCGUGGGGAGCGAACAGG
This 253-nucleotide ribosomal RNA is filed under the name uncultured bacterium. RNAcentral describes it as "partial 16S ribosomal RNA". It matches the Rfam family "Bacterial small subunit ribosomal RNA", at positions 524 to 776 of the family's 1533-position model. The record is from RNAcentral.